This 4696-nucleotide long non-coding RNA is filed under the name Homo sapiens (human). Its description in RNAcentral is "HSALNT0222006". The record is from RNAcentral. Lineage: Eukaryota; Metazoa; Chordata; Mammalia; Primates; Hominidae.
GCUAGAUAUACAUUUAACACAUUAAAAUUAAGUAAGAUUAUUGGCUUCGACUGUAGUUUAAAAAUAUUUUUCCAAACAUAUUCUCAGAUGAAACACAAGCAAAUUCGUGUUAUUCAGUGCAAAAUACUUUGUGGUGGGCUUAAGUUAAACUCAACGUAUAUUUCUUAUAUAUAAUUUUUUUCAUCUAAAGAUUUUGACUUCGGCCUCUUAAUAAACAAGUUGUCUUUUGCAAACGACUCCCUAAAUGGUAAUAAAGCCAAUCCUCUCCUUUGCACGACAAAUAUUUCUUUACCCAGGAAUGAUGCUGCGCCGAAAAUAUUAGCUUAGGAAUGUGGGCGGAGGUUCUCUGCGGCCACAAAAUACAGCAGAAGUAACUGGCCUGUGUAAGCGGAUGGGCUCGGCCUCAAGGACAGGGUGCUCGGCUGAAAAAAAAGCUAGCGGCGAUCACCGGUGCCAGGGCUCUCCAGAAACGGAGCCCAUCUAACCAAUGCCCAGCACACUCGCUCUGCUCCACACACGAGACCACCUCCGACCCGCACUAAGUUGGCCAACUGCACUCUGGAGGCGGCGGCAGCCAGCGAGGGAGAAGGGAAAGGCUGUCCCGGGACCCCGAGGAGGACUGCCCCGCCCCCGGGAACCGGGUGCGGCGUAAAACAACCCCGGCUCCGGGCCGACCCUUCCUGGCCCCUUGGAGGCCCAGGCGGGGCGGCGGGGGGCGACGCGGCAGGGGUCUCCGCGCCCAGGCUCCCGCGGAGCGGCCACACGUGGAGGUUCCCACUUUGGGGUCGCGGCCGCAGCAGCACCGGGCGGGAUGCUGUCCGCGCUGCCCGCGUACGGCCGCGGCCUGAGUGGAGACGCCUGCCCCCAGCCCCGAGGCCUCGGCCCCCGUCCGCCCUCUCUCCCUGCUCGGCGGCCUCGUACUCACGCUGACUUCAUGGCAGCAGGCUCCACGCCGCCCAAACGCGCAUGCGGGACGGCUGGCUGGCGAAGACUGCGGGACGUUAGGACCGGCAGCAAGAACUAGAACUUCGCGGCUAAGGCGCGGUGCUCUGCGAAGCCGGCGGCGACGCUAAGAGCCCAGGUGAGCUCCCGCCUGGCGCAUUUCAAACGGGCCAAUCAGCGCCCGUCCGCAGGGAGAGGCAGGACCUCCGCGGAAGUGACUUCGCUGCCGGAAGUGGCGCUUGUCUCCUAGGCGACCGACGCUGAAAGGGCCGCGGAGUCGCGUGUCAGGGCUGGAGGGAGAUCUUGAGAUCACUUCAAACUUAAGUGAGCUCAGGUUCAUCUGGAGGAUGACUCGGCCUCUGUUGCUGUGACCCCCCAGAAGCUCAGGAAAACAACUGACUUCCUGGUGUUGCCAACAGGCAGAGAGGAGAUGCAGCCAGUCCUUACCCUGUAGAAGAUGGGGAGGGAGUCCCAGGUGUACGGAUAAGCAAAGGCGAGGACACGAAUCACCUUACAGAGUCUGGGCUUCUGGAUUUCAAGAAACCUAAAUCAGGGAAGGAAAGUGGGGAGGAAAUGGAAUGAAAAGAGUCUCAGCAAAUUGCAUACGCACAUGCAUGCACACCGAGGGCCUGGUCAUCAACAGAGGACAAGCAUUUUUCUACAAGCUCCUGUGGCCAGCAGCUUCUCCACCAGCCUCGUCCAUUCCUCCCACCCCAAUGGAAGUGACAAAACUUCAGAUGCAAAAAGAUCUCCAGGGACACCAUCUCCUGACCAUGGGAAGCAGUGGUGUCCAGACUAAGCCAGAAAGGAGGCGCUGGGCAGAAACCCUUCAAGGGCCAAGUUAUGUAACUGCCAAAGAACCUUUUAAAACUCUAGUUGCUACAGGGACAGGGAACGGGUAGGGGGAAUCGGGGGAUCCACUGCCACAGACUCUUGGGGGGCACACUCUGCAGAGGCUGAGAUGCACCCAUCUAGUUGGAGCCCAGGUAUUAUCAUGCAGGAGACCUGGGUUCAAGUAGGUGUUUGACCCUUGGAGAGCUUUCUGGAAUAUUUAUACCACACACAGGGAUACUUGGCUUGGGAAAACUAAAUAAACGUGAAGUCUUUCCUUCUCUUCUUCAUUGCCACCCUCACCCAACCUCCAAUCCAAAGACAGCUGACAGCAACAUUAAAACAAGUGAUGCUGAUUGUUGAGAAGAGAGGCAGGUCCCCCCAGACAGAACAUGACAGGGCCUCAGCUGACUUGGGCCCAGCCUGGGGCAGCAGCUCAGGGUAUGGGGAACUGGGUAGCACAGACAGCAGGCUGCACACUGGGAGGACAUGGGGAGGGGCAGGGAGGGUCUCUGCACAAAAUCACAGCCCUGAACUGAGGCCUGGGUAAGGAAGUGCUCAUGGGCCCUGGCUGGGCCACCAAGGCCAGGUAGUAGGGACAGGUAAAGUCCCCACAUCAAUGCUGAGGUGUACUGUGGAGGGCUGUGUCCUCCCUUGGGGCCCACAGGGCUGCAGGGUAAGGAACCCAGCACAGUGGAUGCACAGCCACACGCUGAGGCUCUUGGGAUGGCUGUUCUGAUGCAGUCUGUAAAGGCAAUGCAUGCAUCUGGGCCCUUUCAGCCUUUGCUGACAGUUCUGCCCCCUAUCACACUGGAGGGAUGGGGUCUGUGUCCUGCUGUGGCUCCUAUCUCUGCUCCCAAGAACCUCGGUCCCAGUCCACAAGCCUGUUCCUUCUCCUUCAAAUGCCAUCUGCUGUUUCCUCUGAGCCCAGACCGAUUUCACCUGGCCAGGCUGUUCAUAUCUCGUAUGAGCCAGUAAAGCCACCUGACCAUAAACCCAGCUGCUGCCUGUAUCUCUCAGCAUGGAGUAUGCAGGGACUUCCACAUUGGGCAGUUAGGGAACCCUCCUCAGGCAGGUGCCAGAUCUGGUCAGGCCUGGAUCCUGGGGACCCAGCACAGAAGCAGGUCUGAGGAUGCGGACAUUCUCCAGGCUAUUGUGCUCCACUCAGUCCUCAGGGCAACCGAGCACAAAUGGCCCACCCGGAGAUUCCUGUUUCAGGAGAAAGGGACACCACUGUGUGCCCGGAGAAGCCCCACAGCCUCCCAAGACAAACCCCAACUUCACUCCAGCCCACUUUCGUGUUUCUUCUUUCCUGACCCUGCCUGUAAGUCAUACAUGGUACAUGGCAUGUACCAGGUGAGAAGCUCAAGGAGAAGGAACUAGGAUGCAUCAUCCCCCCCGAAAAAGAACCAAACUCCCGGAGAGGUGAGGCAGCGCAGCACUGUGAUUUUAUGUGGAGAGCUUGAUUGGGACACACUGGGUUCAAAUCCUGACCCUGCCCUUCACAACCACGUGACCUCGGCAGGUCACUAACCUUUGUGUACCUCCUGAUCCUCAUGUGUAACACAGGGACAAUGACUGUGCCUUGUCACAGCCUCGUUGUAUGGAUUUGAUGAAACGAUGCUCCCGAGGUGUUUAGAACUGUGCAUGGCACAGUCGCACAGACUAAACAGCAGCUUUUAAAAACACAUGCAUCGUGGAGCUCCAUUCUCUCCCCAUCCCCACCUUGUAUCUAUGUUGGUCCAGAUAAUAGGAACAGGAGGGAACAAAUAGGUUCUGGGUGAUUUGCCUGAAGUCAGAUGAGCCAAUAAGAAGCAGAGCUAGGAUUUAAACCCUGGGCUUUCUGGCCCCCAAGUGUCACCCCCUCUGUCUCAGGCAGUAGGCUGCGCAGACUCAGACCCCGCCCGGCCUUCACCCUUCCCUGCCCGCUCUGCCCCUGGAGCAGAGGGCACACACUCCUGCUAUCCCGAGAGCCAGGUAUCUGCCUCACCGGCCUUCUUAGUCCUCCGGCAGACCCUGCCCUGCCGCGGCAGGCCGCCCCCUCCUGCCCUGUGCCCUGCCACCGCCUGCCGUCUCCAGGUUGAGAGGCUCGCUCUUAAAGGGCCCCUGUGGCCACUUACACGCGAAGAAAUCUGGCUGUGGCUGGCGAAGGCCAUCCCCCAAAGCAUGGAUUUUCUGUGACUUGAGACAACAUUUCGCUCGGCCUGAUAAAGUGUUUCCCCAGGGGCAAACGGACCAGCCUCUCCAGCUGCAAAGCCGGGUCUAGAGGGAAAAGAGAAGGAGAAAAAGCAGAAGAGAAGAGAGACAGCAACAGAGAGAAAAAGGCAGAAGGGCCAGUAGCUCGGGAGAGGGGCCGUCCGCUACCAAGUUGCAGUUCCGCAUUAGGCCACGCGAUGUCGCCACAGCCAGAGCAGAACCACAGCCGCAGCAUCCUCAGAGGCGCCCCACGUGCGGCCCCACAGCCCAGCCUGCUCGGGCUUAGGGCAGUCCCGCACCAGAGGGCUAAGGGGCUGCUAUAGAGGAAGUGAGGUCUCUGCUCAGAACGAGGUUGGCAGGACACACUGGGUUACGGGAGAAGCCUUCGUUAAGAAAGGGUCGAUUCAACACAAUCUGACAAAAAAGCUGGAAGGAUUGGCAACUGGAAUUCCGGAACUAGGGCUUGAAACUAGCGGGCCUUUGGAAAAAUCAUUCUAUUGCAGAGGCGCACGCACGAGUGCACGUGUGUGUGUACAUGGGGGCGGUAGUUAUGGUUGUUUUAUUGUGUAGGAGUUGUCUUAUUUUGGAGAACUGCAGGGAUGUAGACAUUUCCCCAUGCCCCUAACUGGCUAUAGCAGCACUUUAUCCUCUGGCCAAGCCUCUGUCUGAGAACCAUGUCUGCUGAGCCUUCUACCUCCAGCGCUGACCUCAAACCCCUUCCAGGUCA